GACGAACGCUGGCGGCGUGCCUAACACAUGCAAGUCGAGCGAAUGAAGUUCCUUCGGGAAUGGAUUUAGCGGCGGACGGGUGAGUAACACGUGGGCAACCUGCCUCAUAGAGGGGAAUAGCCUUCCGAAAGGGAGAGUAAUACCGCAUAAGAUUGUAGUACCGCAUGGUACAGCAAUUAAAGGAGCAAUCCGCUAUGAGAUGGGGACGCGGCGCAUCAGCUAGUUGGUGAGGUAACGGCUCACCAAGGCGACGAUGCGUAGCCGACCUGAGAGGGUGAUCGGCCACAUUGGGACGGAGACACGGCCCAGACUCCUACGGGAGGCAGCAGUGGGGAAUAUUGCACAAUGGGGGAAACCCUGAUGCAGCAACGCCGCGUGAGUGAUGACGGCCUUCGGGUUGUAAAGCUCUGUCUUCAGGGACGAUAAUGACGGUACCUGAGGAGGAAGCCACGGCUAACUACGUGCCAGCCGCCGCAGUAA
This 480-nucleotide ribosomal RNA is filed under the name uncultured bacterium. RNAcentral describes it as "partial 16S ribosomal RNA". It matches the Rfam family "Bacterial small subunit ribosomal RNA", at positions 28 to 523 of the family's 1533-position model. The record is from RNAcentral.